Molecule: long non-coding RNA, 238 nt
Filed under: Ailuropoda melanoleuca (giant panda)
Lineage: Eukaryota; Metazoa; Chordata; Mammalia; Carnivora; Ursidae
Description: lncRNA (ENSAMEG00000023480.1)
Source: RNAcentral
UUGUCUGCGUGAACCUCCCUGAGUCUUGGCACAGCUCGCUUCUAAGUGGUGACAGGAUGCCCUUCAGAACAGGGUCCAGGUAGCCGGGCUGCCAGCGAGAUGCCUGGCGCAGGAGAGCCGCGGGGAAAGGAGAGAUGUUUCCAGACGAUUCUGCCUGCCGAUGGUUGAUUUUGCGUCUUGAUCACCACGGAUCUGUUUCCGAAGGUUUAGAAAUGACUCAUCAUACCUGAAGCCUGUG